RNAcentral lists this ribosomal RNA (560 nucleotides) under Cordyceps sp. F1041. RNAcentral's name for it is "eukaryotic LSU rRNA". It matches the Rfam family "Eukaryotic large subunit ribosomal RNA", at positions 64 to 649 of the family's 3401-position model. Lineage: Eukaryota; Fungi; Ascomycota; Sordariomycetes; Hypocreales; Cordycipitaceae. The record is from RNAcentral.
ACCAACAGGGAUUGCCCCAGUAACGGCGAGUGAAGCGGCAACAGCUCAAAUUUGAAAUCUGGCCCCCCGGGUCCGAGUUGUAAUUUGCAGAGGAUGCUUCGGGCGAGGUGCCUUCCGAGUUCCCUGGAACGGGACGCCACAGAGGGUGAGAGCCCCGUCUGGUCGGACACCGAGCCCGUGUGAAGCUCCUUCGAAGAGUCGAGUAGUUUGGGAAUGCUGCUCAAAAUGGGAGGUAUAUGUCUUCUAAAGCUAAAUAUUGGCCAGAGACCGAUAGCGCACAAGUAGAGUGAUCGAAAGAUGAAAAGCACUUUGAAAAGAGGGUUAAAAAGUACGUGAAAUUGUUGAAAGGGAAGCGCCCAUGACCAGACUUGGGCCCGGUGAAUCACCGGCGUUCUCGCCGGUGCACUUUGCCGGGCACAGGCCAGCAUCAGUUUGGCGCGGGGGACAAAGGCUUCGGGAACGUGGCUCCCUCGGGAGUGUUAUAGCCCGCUGCGUAAUACCCUGCGCCGGACUGAGGUACGCGCAUCGCAAGGAUGCUGGCGUAAUGGUCAUCAGCGACC